RNAcentral lists this ribosomal RNA (497 nucleotides) under uncultured bacterium. RNAcentral describes it as "partial 16S ribosomal RNA". It matches the Rfam family "Bacterial small subunit ribosomal RNA", at positions 28 to 507 of the family's 1533-position model. The record is from RNAcentral.
GAUGAACGCUGGCGGCGUGCCUAAUACAUGCAAGUCGAGCGAACGGACGAUAAGCUUGCUUCUCUGAUGUUAGCGGCGGACGGGUGAGUAACACGUGGAUAACCUACCUAUAAUACUGGGAUAACUUCGGGAAACCGGAGCUAAUACCGGCUAAUAUUUUGUACCGCAUGGUUCAAAAGUGAAAGACGGUCUUGCUGUCACUUAUAGAUGGAUCCGCGCUGCAUUAGCUAGUUGGUAAGGUAACGGCUUACCAAGGCAACGAUGCAUAGCCGACCUGAGAGGGUGAUCGGCCACACUGGAACUGAGACACGGUCCAGACUCCUACGGGAGGCAGCAGUAGGGAAUCUUCCGCAAAGGGCGAAAGCCUGACGGAGCAACGCCGCGUGAGUGAUGAAGGUCUUCGGAUCGUAAAACUCUGUUAUUAGGGAAGAACAUAUGUGUAAGUAACUGUGCACAUCUUGACGGUACCUAAUCAGAAAGCCACGGCUAACUACGUG